This 20-nucleotide microRNA is filed under the name Ciona intestinalis (vase tunicate). RNAcentral describes it as "cin-miR-4026-5p". Lineage: Eukaryota; Metazoa; Chordata; Ascidiacea; Phlebobranchia; Cionidae. The record is from miRBase by way of RNAcentral.
GUAAGUGAUGACGUCAUUUG